Molecule: long non-coding RNA, 233 nt
Filed under: Gopherus agassizii (Agassiz's desert tortoise)
Lineage: Eukaryota; Metazoa; Chordata; Testudines; Testudinidae
Description: lncRNA (ENSGAGG00000019550.1)
Source: RNAcentral
CUCCGGCCCGGCCCGGCCCGGCUGCGUGUGCGUCCCGAGAAGCAGGCCAGCGCGGCGCGGCGGAACUCAGCUGCUAUUUAUGUCAGUUCCUGUCCCGAAAAUCUUACAGUCCAAGACCCCAAUCCUACAUAUAUUUAUAGCUGCCCUCAAAUUCACCUUUCUGAACCCAUUUAAGGAGAUUGGUGAGUACCUCAAUAUUUCUUCUAAUCCUUUUAACAAGUACUGGUCAUGGC